GAUUAAAGUGGUCUAAUUAAUUAACAACCAGAAGUGCUUCCUAUUAACUACACUUCUCCAACAUUAUUUCAAAGGUACAAUCUGGCAUAGUUUUCACUUGAAUGCAAAAGAAGCCUGCCUCUUAUACUGGACCAGAAAACUGUUUUCAAAAGCUGCAGAAUCAUACAAAUUGGAUGGAGUUUUAAAGGAUCAGAACUGAUGAGAAACUUGCCCAGCUAAUAGAUUGGCAGAGCUCAGAUCAGAGACUUAUUCCAAAGUCUGGGCUCUCAUACACCUAGAAUUGUCAUUUAUUAAAGUGUGUUUUGGAGAGAUGAAGAAUAUUGUUAGAAUGCCUAUAAGAGCUCUACUUUAAUCAGCAACCAUGUAGUACACUGGAGGACUAAAGUUUGAUCUUCUUUGUGAUGAUGUGUGAGUGUACAUGUGUGGAAGAAAUAUGGAGGUAUUUUUUAUUUAUGCUCCCUUUUUAUUUUCUCUGUUCAGCUUUGUACUUAAGGGAGCACGUGACUUUAAAUAUAAUUAGGUGCCAUCUCCACCUUCCUAGAAGGUGAUAUUGCUAUAUUUAAAAUUGUUAUCACAUUGUUAUUAUCCAGGAUGAAACAUACGGACUUUAGAUGUUACCAUCAGUAAUACCAACUUCAUUUGCCCCAUCCAAAGGAAUACUUGUAGUUCAUAUUCAGACAUGUGAUGGAACCUCAUUGAUCCAGAUGUGUAGGAACUCCUCUGUGGGACAAUCCAGACCCUCCUCUGAGCUGUCAAUCUGAUUGCAUACUUCAGUUAUUCUCAGGCCUAUUAAGUUGCAAAUGUGCACUCUUUGUCCAGAUGCUCAGAUCUUUUCAGCAACCCUCUGCAUACUGCUCAACUGCCAGCCUCCUCACUGUGUUCCAGGAAGAAUGAGAGUCUCAAUAAGAAUGCUGCCUCUGGUCAUUUGACUCCAGGCUGAGGCAGGUUAAAUCACAGUUUAAACUUUACCAACCUUUUGGAGCCUGAGAAAGCAAAAGUCAAAAGGCAAGCGAUGGCAUAACUAAUGGUAUGAAUUAGAAGGAAUGUGAAGAAGAGCACCAAACAUGGUAAAAAGAGGGAAGAAGGCGUUUGGUUAAAAAAAAAAGAAAAGAAAAGAAAAGAAAAGAAAAGAAAAGAAAAGAAAAGAAAAGAAAAGAAAAGAAACAACAACAACCGAAUAAACAAAUCAUGUUUUGCUUGGCUCUGUAAAUUAGAAGCCUGCCAAAAAGUGGUCUGCAAAGGUGUUAAGAAUCAAAAAGCAUCUUCAGUGUUCUGCCUUCAUCAGAAAUAUGGAAGGAAUUUCCUAGAGAUGGUUAGAAAGGAAUUACUGGGAACCUCAUCAGGCCUCGAUUUGCUUAUUCAUUGCCAGGCAGGGUGUUAACUAUGGGAGAUAGAAAAUGAAUAUGCCAUGGCCCUGCCAGCCAACCUUACCCUCCAGUUCAGGGAGAUACACGAACUGUUAUGCAUACUUACGCGUGAAAGGCACCAUGAAAUAAACAUAAAAAGGGUACAGUAGGCGGACAAAGGGGCAGUGAUCUACUCUGGGAUUCUAAUAAAAACAAUUCGUUACAAUCAUGUAGGGUUGUUCAGGGAGAUGAUCAACUCUCCCAGGGAAGCGCGAGGCGGAAUCUGAAUUAACAGAUAUAGUUGAGUCAAAACACAAGAAAGGGGGGUUUUGACGAAGCAAUCAAUUCACACCAGUCCCAAGAAGCAACGGCGAACACGAGACCUGGGGAAGAACCAACUGUCUAUCACGCCGUCCAAAUGUGCAUGCGAUCACCGGCGCACGAAUCCACCUUGCUGCGCGCAGCGGGCUUCUUAAACAAUGCUCCCCGGGCCCGAACAAGCGCUUAGGAACUAUUUCUUACAAAAUAAGCCAAGCGCCGGCGAACGGUCCGUCGCCACAUCCCGGUGCCCCCGCGGAGCCCCACGCGAGGGGGUGUCCCGCUUGGGGAAGAGAGAGAAAGGGGGUGUAGAGGAAGGGGAAGGAUUCGAACCAAUGCAAGAGUCCGCCCGGCGUCGCCACGCGGUUGUCACAAACAACAGCAUGGAAACAAACUAUGUCAAAGCGCAGAAAAUUGGGCGGCCUUUAAACUUUGGCAUCUGCUCCGUUUGUGGCGAGACCUCCCGGAACGUAACCCAGAACCGUACACCCGCUCGCGGGCGAGGGGAGGCGGCCAGAAGGAACCGGGCGGACAGCUUUCGCCGAGGGUUUGCAGCGAGUGUGGGACCGGGACGGGCGACGCCACGGCCAGAGGGGAGGGGAGGGG
Nyctereutes procyonoides (raccoon dog) is the source of this 2270-nucleotide long non-coding RNA. RefSeq lists it as uncharacterized. The record is from RefSeq and is a predicted model, not a curated record. The transcript is spliced from 3 exons. Lineage: Eukaryota; Metazoa; Chordata; Mammalia; Carnivora; Canidae.